AGAACGAACGCUGGCGGCAGGCCUAACACAUGCAAGUCGAACGGGUAUCUUCGGAUACUAGUGGCGGACGGGUGAGUAACGCGUGGGAACGUACCCUUUGGUUCGGAAUAGCCUCGGGAAACUGGGAGUAAUACCGGAUACGGUCGAGAGACGAAAGAUUUAUCGCCGAAGGAUCGGCCCGCGUUGGAUUAGGUAGUUGGUGGGGUAAUGGCCUACCAAGCCGACGAUCCAUAGCUGGUUUGAGAGGAUGAUCAGCCACACUGGGACUGAGACACGGCCCAGACUCCUACGGGAGGCAGCAGUGGGGAAUAUUGCGCAAUGGGCGGAAGCCUGACGCAGCGACGCCGCGUGGGGGAUGACGGCCUUCGGGUUGUAACCUCUUUCAGCAGGGACGAAGCGAGAGUGACGGUACCUGCAGAAGAAGCACCGGCCAACUACGCGCCAGCAGCCGC
Molecule: ribosomal RNA, 452 nt
Filed under: uncultured bacterium
Lineage: Bacteria
Description: SSU rRNA
Rfam family: Bacterial small subunit ribosomal RNA
Source: RNAcentral